AUACGUAGGGUGCGAGCGUUGUCCGGAAUUACUGGGCGUAAAGAGCUCGUAGGUGGUUUGUCGCGUCGUCUGUGAAAUUCCGGGGCUUAACUCCGGGCGUGCAGGCGAUACGGGCAUAACUUGAGUACUGUAGGGGAGACUGGAAUUCCUGGUGUAGCGGUGAAAUGCGCAGAUAUCAGGAGGAACACCGGUGGCGAAGGCGGGUCUAUGGGCAGUAACUGACGCUGAGGAGCGAAAGCAUGGGUAGCGACCAGGAUUAGAUCCCCGGGUAGUCCAUGCCGUAACCGGUGGGCGCUAGGUGUAGGGGUCUUCCACGACUUCUGUGCCGUAGCUAACGCAUUAAGCGCCCCGCCUGGGGAGUACGGCCGCAAGGCUAAAACUCAAAGGAAUUGACGGGG
Molecule: ribosomal RNA, 398 nt
Filed under: uncultured bacterium
Lineage: Bacteria
Description: partial 16S ribosomal RNA
Rfam family: Bacterial small subunit ribosomal RNA
Source: RNAcentral